RNAcentral lists this ribosomal RNA (409 nucleotides) under Bacteroidetes bacterium oral taxon 272. Its description in RNAcentral is "bacterial SSU rRNA". It matches the Rfam family "Bacterial small subunit ribosomal RNA", at positions 28 to 427 of the family's 1533-position model. The record is from RNAcentral. Lineage: Bacteria; Pseudomonadati; Bacteroidota.
GAUGAACGCUAGCUACAGGCUUAACACAUGCAAGUCGUGGGGCAUCAUGAUGUAGUAAUACAUUGAUGGCGACCGGCGCACGGGUGAGUAACGCGUAUCCAACCUACCCUCCACUCAAGUAUAGGCUUCCGAAAGGGAGAUUAAUCCUUGAUAUCGUCAUUCUCUCUCCUGUUAGAAUGAUAAAAGGACAUCGUUUCGGUAGAGGAUGGGGAUGCGUUCCAUUAGGUAGUAGGUGGUUUAACAGGCCACCUAGCCGAUGAUGGAUAGGGGUUCUGAGAGGAAUAUCCCCCACACUGGUACUGAGAUACGGACCAGACUCCUACGGGAGGCAGCAGUGAGGAAUAUUGGUCAAUGGGCGCAAGCCUGAACCAGCCAUGUAGCGUGAAGGAUGACGGUUUUUUUGAUUGUA